CUACUUACAUGGUGGAGUUGUAUGCCAGGUUAAGGAGGGCCUGGUAACACUUGUCCUGUCACUCAAACUAGACUGACUUUAGAGAGGUUGGGGUAAAAUAGGAAAGACUUACUAAAAAUAGUAUACCUACCCAACUGCUUUGGAUGCCUGGAAAACUGGCACAAAGUUGUUCUGACAGUGGAGCUCUCUAGCCAUGCCUCACUUUCUGCAGGUCACACCAGAAGCCGUCCAUCAGGACAUGGUGGACAUCUGACCUAAUCACUUCCAGUUACCCGAAGACCUUCUCUUGGCCGUUUGAGUGAAAAGCACUUCACUCAUAUUUGAUUAAGAAAAUACAAACACUUAUGUUUCAAUGUUAUUUUUAUUAAAUACUUUCAGAUGUUUCAAUAAUAACAAAGCUAUUAUGAAGAUCUACCAACAUUCAAACAAACACUUGAUAUUUUUAAACUAAUGGUUUUAUGUUUUAUUAACUGUAUGGUCAUGCAAAAAUCCAGCAUUCAAUAAAAACUCAGAGUAUAGUUAUAUGUAGCCCCAUCAUAUGGUAACAAUGCAAUAAAAUGACUAGAAUCUGGGGAACAUACCAAGCUAAGGCUUUGUUUAUCUUUUUUUAUCCUUUUUUAUCGUGAUACACACCAUUUCAUUUUAGCAUUUGAAACAGAGCCAUAUUUUAAUUACCUUGAGAAUGCAGGUAACACGUAAAUAUAGAUAGAUAGAUAUCCAUUUUAAGUAAACACAGACAGUGAAAAAUAUUACCAGAGCAGACAUGCAUAUUUUUUCCUCCUUCUGUCCAACUGCAUAUAUGGUAUGGUGUGGUUCGUAAAGUGAAUGGCCUUUCAAAGUUUCAGUUAGUAUAUCAAAUCAUCCCUCAUCUCGCAAGCUAACUGCCCACUGUCUAACAGGUACGUUUUUCAGAGCUCUGUCUGGAAUGCUCCUCUCCACGCCCACCGUCUUUGUGACAAGUGCUUUCCUCUCGUCAGUACUAUGAAGUUAAACCAUGCUGUGCUCUUUCACGUGACCAGUUCCCAUGGCUGUGUGGACCCACGAUGCCAGACCUCAGGACAGGGCAACUGAGACAGAACAGACACUACUCAAGACAACCGCCCCGCCCCCCCCAACAAAAAACUCAAGAGACAAACAAAAGUCACACUGGAACUGUACACACACUACACUGGAGUGCAAAUCAACGAAACCAAGCAUGAUGGUGGUCCCACUGCCUCGCUGGGAGCUCCGUGACUGGCUGGAGAGCCGUUUGCCAGGCCUGACUGAGACCAGUGAACCCUGGAUAUAUAUUAUAUACUUUCUGUCUUUGAAUAAUUUGUCAACACCUCUUGUCUAUUGGCUGUCUAACUCUGCUAAGUACUAUGGAUCAAGAACUAUGGUCUAGGACAAAGUGAAGGGCCUACAUAUGGGGCUUAGGCCCUCCGGAGUCACUGACAAUCACACGCUACUACGUUACCACGGUGACAAGCAGUGUUCUGAUCUCACACAGACACACACAAAGAUUUGCCUUAUAGGGAGCACAUUAUGUCAGAGCGUCAACAUGGCGACAUAUCCUCCACGUUAUGAUCUGCAACGUGAACUUGCGAUUUCAAGAUGCGGCGUGGUAGAAGGUCACGUGCAUGUGCGCACGCGGGUGUGUGUUUAACGAUUCAAAUGGAGGGAUGGUGUGCAUGUCUGGCACAGCCUAAGCUCUGCACCUCAACUACAAAUGGGCACUGCACUGCAUAAAUACUUACAGUUCAAAAAAUAUAUAUAUAUAUAAUCCAGAAAAAAACACCAACACUAAGAACACUAACGUCGGAACAUUACAACACAAACUGCCACAAAAGGAACCAGUAAACCAACUACCUUUUAGCACAACUAAGACUCCCAGCUCUGUCUCUCUCUCUCUCUCUCUCAUCCAGGCCCCGGUCAGAUGAUUCCCAGCUAGCCAAUCCCACACUUCCUUCCCUCCGGUCAGACAUCCUCAGGCAAUACUCACAGUGAGCCCCGGAGAAAGUAUAGGGAGCGAGAGGUCCAACAGUACAACACGAACAGGACUUAGACUUCAGACACCAGACAGGCAAGUGUGCAGACAUGUACACGCACGCACACACGCACACGCAAACACAGAAAUACCGUGGCAGUGUGCAACAACUAUGGGCUGGUGUCAGGGUCUGUUAGAGGAAUGGACCAUCAGAGAAGGAUUUCCCAUAACCCGAAGUUGCAGACAGGUCCACACUGUGUGGACGAAACAGCAUAGCGUCUCCGGCUUCUGUGCAAAACAGUACAGGCCAUUUCUACUAAGUUCCAACAUGCUAGUGUAGAAAAAAUGAUAUGCCACAUUUGGCUGAAGCCUAGGGAAGGUGAUUCGGGUAUCAGAGAGAGCGAGAGGGUGGGAGAGAGAGGGCUAAGAGCCAAGCUAAUAGUGAAGAGUGUUUAGCUCCCCCUAGUGCCCAGACAGACGUUAAACUCAGAACACACCGACAAAGUGAAAUUAAAGUUCUGCAACUUCAGGCUCAAUAGGCCGCAAACCGACAAGCAGGUGUGUAAACUGACCCUGGACUAUGCUGAUGUGUAUGCUGGUGUGUGUGUGUGUGUGUGUGUAUGUGUAUGUGUGCGCGUGCGCGUGCAUGCGUGUAUGUGUAAAACGGCUUCUUAAAGCACGGCAGAGCAAUGAGCCAAGGGAGACUAAAUAAUGCACUCCCCACAUACAAACACAUACACACUCACCCACUCAGUCACACACACUCACACUCACACACAAAACAUUGCUCUCAAUAUCUCCUUGCCCUAUACACUAACACUAAAUCUUUGUUCCCCUUCUCUUUAUAAAUACCUAUGUAUACAUAGCUAUAGUAAAUCGUGCCCUACUUUUAAAAAUCCACUUUUUUUGAAAACACAAAAUACUUUUGAACAGCGUCAUUCAGGAGAUAAAAAUAAAGAGUUCCACAACAAGCACAACAAAAUGAUAAAACCUUCCCCAAUUCUCUCUCUCCUCAAACAAAAUAGAAAUAUUGUUAAAACAACUCAAUGUCUAAAUUCUACACUUUGGUGGUUUUACUUCUAAGUAA
This is a long non-coding RNA of Electrophorus electricus (electric eel), 3053 nucleotides long. RefSeq lists it as uncharacterized. NCBI's taxonomy places the organism in Eukaryota, Metazoa, Chordata, Actinopteri, Gymnotiformes, Gymnotidae. The record is from RefSeq and is a predicted model, not a curated record.